This is a long non-coding RNA of Rhineura floridana, 2992 nucleotides long. RefSeq lists it as uncharacterized. NCBI's taxonomy places the organism in Eukaryota, Metazoa, Chordata, Lepidosauria, Squamata, Rhineuridae. The record is from RefSeq and is a predicted model, not a curated record. The transcript has 3 exons.
AGGGGGCUUCAUAGGAAGAGGCCUUAUACCAUUGGUUUUUAUAGCUUAGUAUUGCAGACACUGACUGCAAGUGGCUCUCCAGGAUUUCAAGUAGAAGUCCCUCUAGGGCUGCCAGGUCUCCAGUUUUUGCCUGGAGACUCUGGAUUUUUGGAGUCCUAUCCAGUGUGCCCUUCUUCCUUGGGGUGGCCAUGGUCGUCCUCUGUUGUUUUCACUCGAGGGGGAGAUUAUGCUGAGAGAUGGAGGGACAGAUGGUAGAGAGCAGUCUUCGCCAGCUGGGCCCAGUCCUGCAAGAUGAUCAUCCGCAAGCAAAAAUCCCACAGGAAAAGGCGAUGAUCCAGCAACAGCAGCAGCAGCAGUAGCAACAGCAGCAGCAGCAGAUCCGUCCUUCCUGGGCAGCAAUGCUCUCCCUUCAUAUGUCACAGUAGUAACAAAGGGUCGGUGAGGUCAACAAAGCCCCUUCCCUCUACAAAGCCAGCUGUCAUGGGGUAGCAGCAACAGCAGCGGUAAUAGCAGCGGCGGCGAGAAUCCUCCCAACCACCGCGCCCAUCCAGCCUCCUAAGCCAAAUAACGAGCCAACAAACUUUCCGCGAGCUGCGAGCCGGGGCAUGACCCAGCUACUCACUGCGUCUCGCUCCGUCUCUCAACGCGCGUCUGACUCUCUCGUCGCCCACGCUUUCCUCGCCUCACCUCCCAUUUCAAGGGCCUCACUUUCCCGUCCAAAGCUCGGCCCAGCUAAGAAUCUUGUGACAGCUGGCGUUGUCAGGCAGCAGCUCCUCGUACGGUCCUCGUAUGGUCUUCCCUUCCGUCUUUCUGUCUUCCCCGUAAAAUUCGGAUGGGAGAGUGACGGAAUAGAGGGCUUUUUAGCAAAGGUGAGUGGGAGGAGGUGGCGGCGGCGGUGGUAGAGAGGAAGGAAGAGGUUGCUGCCCCCCAGCUUAUAGGAAGGCAAGUAAAGGGGUAGAGACUGCCAGGCUGAGCUGCAGGAGCUCUGUGCCUUAAAGAGGGUCAUAAAUCAUACUCUCAGGUGGCUUGAGGGCUGCAGGGGAGCAGAAGCGUUAAUUAAAAGCUCUUUUACAGGUUUUCAGAAAAGUUCUAUCCUUGUAAGAGAUCUUUUGCUUUCCAGUUAAGCUAUAUAAACUGUAAAUUAGUAUGUGGGUGGAGGAAUGAUAAUUGGUAAAGAAAUGUCCACUGCUAUCUGGUUUGGGCUGGAAUUUUUGCUGUGUCCCUGGGUCAUAGAUAAUGUGUGUCUCUUAAAAAAGCAUGCAUAAUCUCCACAAAAAUAAGUGUGUGUAAUGUCAACAGAGCCCUUUGUGGUGCAUUUUGUCUUCUUAUUUCAGCAUGAUUUAUGCGGUUGGGAAAUGUAACCAACCUAUCCUACUGUUGGGUCCUUACUUAUCAGACUGUCACCAAAUCAAAAUUUCUGGGACAAAAUAUUCUACAUUAUUAUUAUUAUUAUCAUGCAUGUAAUUGGAUAAGCCACAUUUUUGAAUACUAGAACAGAAGGGCUUUACAAAGUUUGUCUCACUUCAUUGGGACUACAGGAAGUGGCUGAUUUUAGCUGGCUGGUAAUCUAAAUGUCUUGUGUGAGAAUAUUUUGCUUUGUGCAGGACAUGGCAAAUAGGAAUUGAAGAUUUUCUUUGCUGCUUUAAUUUGUUUCUGUGGAAACAGUGACAUUGGCACAGGACUGUUGAACGGUGUGACAAUCUACUCAAAACUUAUUUUAUGAAAAUCCCCCUUAGGAUUUGAUUUUUUCCAAAGAGGCCUCAGCCAUGCCUGUGUAUUUGAGUCUGCAAAUUUGUAUAGCUGCAUUUUUCAGACAUUGGGAUUUGAUGAAACCCUUGUCAGGUGUAAAUGAAAUAGUUGCUUUGAAGUUAGUGGAGUAAACUUGAUUUAUGCCAGCUAAUGUUAUGAACUGCAGUGUAAUUCUUUUAUGUGUUUAUGGAAUGACAUAAGUACUGUGAUCCUAAAACAAAUGUCUCAUAAGUAUUGAAGGCUAUAGUUACAAGAAUACAGUUAAAGAACUUAGGUUGUCUGUAUGGAUAAUUUAGAGUUGCUAAUUGCUUCAUGUGGAUAGGGAUGCAUAUGAUAUGCCUGCAUAAUUUGUGACCACCUAGGAAAGGAGAGGUCACCAGUCAAGUCUACUUGCCAAGUAUUGGGCAAGGAGAAUAAAUGUACAUUUAUUUAUGGAGCACACAACAUAUGCUACUAAAUAAAACAUUUCUAAGAAAAGGUUUAAUGACCUAUUUUUGUUAGAUACAUAGCUGUCUGAACUGCCGUCAUAAUCCCUUCAAAACUGACCAACAAUAUUAUUUCUGAUAAUAUGAUGCAGCAGUCAGUGCACACAUUCUGAGCACAUAUUUUUUUGCAUAGCAAGUCUUGGGAUCAGGGUGAAGGUUAGUUGGUAAUUGAGCACAGCAGAAUUAUCACUAAUGCCAUCCUGCAUAUAGUAUAUUAAUUGUGUGUAACGAUUUCUAAGCUUUGGAAUAGUAUGACUGACAGUUUAUAACCCUCAGGAAAAUACUAGAAGCUUUGUUUGGGAGUUUGCUUAAAAGAUUCCAUGAAAUCAUAUCACACUUACUUGCCCUUUUAGAAAUAAAAGCUAAUUAACUUCCUGCACAAGCCAAUUUGCAGGUACAUUGUAAGCACAGGUUAGAAUUAAGGAGCAGUAAUUGCUUAUAAUGAUGAUCAGCAUAACUGAUGUGAUAAAUUAUGAUUAAUGAGUAAAUUAGCAGUGAAUGCUGUAAAUGAGUCUGCUAUGAAAAUUAUUUUAAAAGAAAUGAAGGGCAACCAGAUCUGUCAAAUGUGCUGCACAUGCUUAAUAGUUCAAGUCUUAGAGAAAAUAUAAAACCUUUUACAUAGCACUGCAUGCAUCUAACAAUCAACUGGUGAUAUCAUUUAUUAUUAAUAAUAAAUAUAUUAUUAUUAUUUAUUUGUUUAUCACUUUUUACACUCAAAGGAUCUGAAAGCGACUUGCAACAUGAAUAAAAAUACACAA